This 468-nucleotide ribosomal RNA is filed under the name uncultured bacterium. Its description in RNAcentral is "partial 16S ribosomal RNA". It matches the Rfam family "Bacterial small subunit ribosomal RNA", at positions 28 to 507 of the family's 1533-position model. The record is from RNAcentral.
GACGAACGCUGGCGGCGUGCUUAACACAUGCAAGUCGAACGGAAAGGCCCUGCUUUUGUGGGGUGCUCGUGUGGCGAACGGGUGAGUAACACGUGAGUAACCUGUCCCUGACUUUGGGAUAACUCCAGGAAACUGGGGCUAACACCGGAUAGGAGCUCCUGCUGCAUGGUGGGGGUUGGAAAGUUUCGGCGGUUGGGGAUGGACUCGCGGCUUAUCAGCUUGUUGGUGGGGUAGUGGCUUACCAAGGCUUUGACGGGUAGCCGGCCUGAGAGGGUGACCGGCCACAUUGGGACUGAGAUACGGCCCAGACUCCUACGGGAGGCAGCAGUGGGGAAUAUUGCACAAUGGGCGGAAGCCUGAUGCAGCAACGCCGCGUGCGGGAUGACGGCCUUCGGGUUGUAAACCGCUUUCGCCUGUGACGAAGCGUGAGUGACGGUAAUGGGUAAAGAAGCACCGGCUAACUACGUG